GCACUGCCGAGGAGUCCCACAAUAGAACGAAAUGGCUAUCCAGUGU
Non-coding RNA from Schistosoma curassoni, 46 nucleotides. The record is from Rfam. NCBI's taxonomy places the organism in Eukaryota, Metazoa, Platyhelminthes, Trematoda, Strigeidida, Schistosomatidae.